This 82-nucleotide transfer RNA is filed under the name Anaerolineae bacterium CG2_30_57_67. RNAcentral's name for it is "tRNA-Leu". It matches the Rfam family "tRNA". Rfam says of the family: Transfer RNA (tRNA) molecules are approximately 80 nucleotides in length. Their secondary structure includes four short double-helical elements and three loops (D, anti-codon, and T loops). RNAcentral also lists the same sequence under 2 other names. The record is from RNAcentral. Lineage: Bacteria; Bacillati; Chloroflexota; Anaerolineae.
GGGGAUGUGGCGGAACGGGCAGACGCGUAAGACUUAGGAUCUUAUGCCGCGAGGCGUGUGAGUUCGAAUCUCACCAUCCCUA